AGUGACAAGAAAUAACAAUACAGGACCUUUUGGUUUUGUAAUUGGAAUGAGUUAAGUAUAAACCCCUUUACAAGUAUCAAUUGGAGGGCAAGUCUGGUGCCAGCAGCCGCGGUAAUUCCAGCUCCAAUAGCGUAUAUUAAAGUUGUUGCAGUUAAAAAGCUCGUAGUUGGAUUUCUGUUAACAAUUUAUAUAAAAUAUUUUGAUGAAUAUUUAUAUAAUAUUAACAUAAUUCAUGUUACUAUUUUUUUUUAGUAUAUGAAAUUUUACUUUGAGAAAAUUAGAGUGCUUAAAGCAGG
This 296-nucleotide ribosomal RNA is filed under the name Cryptosporidium sp. 30. RNAcentral's name for it is "partial 18S ribosomal RNA". It matches the Rfam family "Eukaryotic small subunit ribosomal RNA", at positions 466 to 784 of the family's 1831-position model. Lineage: Eukaryota; Apicomplexa; Conoidasida; Eucoccidiorida; Cryptosporidiidae. The record is from RNAcentral.